AUGUUAUCUGGGAGGUGCCGCUGGCUCGCCUCUGGGGUUAGAGCUGCUGUUUUUUUCCAGAACCCGAUACCACGAGCAUCGAUAAUCUGGUGGCGGCGAGUUCUGCUGCUGUGCUGCCUCGGGGUGCCCCUUCCCUCAAAAAGGGGACUGGGUGCUGAUGCUGUGAGCCCUAUCAGGGAGGGGGAAAGCAGCAGGGAGAGUGGGGGGCGGCUCCAAGCGCUGGGCGAGGCAAAACCCACAGAGGGGCACCUCCUGCUGCAUCCCCAUCUGGGGGGCAGCGAGCUCGGCUGGACAUUUUGGGGACGGUUGUGGGGAGGGGGACACCCACUCCUCACCAACCGGGGAGCAGCCGGAGGGGGACGCGCCCGCUUUUUUUAUUAUUUUAUUAUUUUUUUAUUUUUUUUCCCCAUUCCUUCUCCAUCCGCGCCUGCCGUGCGCGCCCGGCCGCGGCCGCUGGGUAGCGCUCGGAGCCUCGCCGCCUCCCCGCCUCCCUCGCUCGGGCUGCCCCCGGCUCCGCCGAGCCCCUCCAGCCGCCCCCCCCCCGGCCCCUUUCGGGCCCGGCCCCGGCCAAGGGGGGCCCCCCCCCCCCCGGAGCUCCCGAAGGGGUCGGCGCUGCGCCUCCUGCCCGCCCGCCGCGCCCCGCCGCCGGCUGCGAGCGGGACCCCGAGCCGCUGCCCCCCGCCGCAGCACUUUCCACGUCUUCCCCCGGCUGACAAGGGGGGGGUGAGACGGGUUUGGGGCUGGGGGGGGGUUGUUUUGGGGAGAGACCCCCCCCUCCCCAUAAAGCCCCCCCCGGAGCCGCCGAAGCGGGGAUGUCCCCAGCAGGGAGCUGAGCGCUGGGGAGGGGCCGGCUGCCGCCCCCGGACCCCAAACUUUGUGGGUUUUGUGAUUUUUUUUUUUCUUGGUUUUCUUUUUUUUUUUUUUUCUUCCCUGCGGUGUGCUCGGCUCCGGGAGCGGCGGGCACGGGGGGGAGAGGGGGGGUGCCCGGCCCCGAUGGUGCUUGAGGACGCAGAAGGGGCCGGGGGCGCACAGCUCAGCGCUUCCCACCCCUUCCCCUGA
This 1059-nucleotide long non-coding RNA is filed under the name Anas platyrhynchos platyrhynchos (common mallard). Its description in RNAcentral is "lncRNA (ENSAPLG00000024850.1)". The record is from RNAcentral. Lineage: Eukaryota; Metazoa; Chordata; Aves; Anseriformes; Anatidae.